Molecule: transfer RNA, 67 nt
Filed under: Liposcelis paeta
Lineage: Eukaryota; Metazoa; Arthropoda; Insecta; Psocodea; Liposcelididae
Description: tRNA-Gly
Source: RNAcentral
UUAUAAUUAAUAUAAAAAGUAUAUUUAAUUUCCAAUUAAAAAGUUUUUCUUAGCAAAUUAUUUUAGA